This is a long non-coding RNA of Cicer arietinum (chickpea), 772 nucleotides long. RefSeq lists it as uncharacterized. Lineage: Eukaryota; Viridiplantae; Streptophyta; Magnoliopsida; Fabales; Fabaceae. The record is from RefSeq and is a predicted model, not a curated record.
GCAGGCACAAUGCGCUUCCCACCUUUCUGUGAACCAAAACAAGAAAAUGCACCCAAACAUCCUCCCCAUCUCUUUCUCUGUCAAUGCAACUGUGUUUCUUCUUCUAUCUCUUCCCCCAGUUUUUAAUCCACUCUCCUAGUCACCAUCUGCUUCUUCUUGACCAACCCGUUUGUAAAUCUAAAACUCCAAGGUGCACCCUCUAACAUUGGAGUAAUUUCUCAUGAUGCAUUUGAAAGGUUUUGGCAGGAAAAGUGAGGUUGAUCUUAUAUGGUAUUGGAAGUUUACAAGUUCUUCGGUGUAUUUGGAUGGAGAGCAAUACCAUACUUUCAAAGGUCCAUUUUAAUUGAUAUUUUGGAGGUCUUUGUUUAACCCUUGUCACAGAUAGGAUUGUAUUUUUGGCUUCUCUUUGGUAUAGUAUACGGAAAGAUUGGAAAACUAGAAACUUUGACUGCCCAAAUAUAUCUUUAGUAUAACAAUCUUUCUGCACAGAUGGAAGGAUUAUUCAAAAUUGAAGUUAUUGGAAAAGGUUUGCUUUGGGUUUUAUGCGAUAUAUAUCAUAUAUAUCAAUUCUGGCAGUGUUUUUUAUUUUCAAAAAGGACAUUUAGCGAAAGUAGACUUCAUUCAAAACUUCAAAUAGAUUUGGCUUCUGAGUUUUAAGAGUUGAUAUGUACCCCAAGGCACUGUUUUGUUGCCAAUAUAUCUCUGGAAGCAAAGAGAUAUUUGCUUGCUGAUAAUUUGUUCCCCAAAUAAUACAAUCCUCCAGUCAAAAAAA